This 184-nucleotide ribosomal RNA is filed under the name Klebsiella pneumoniae. Its description in RNAcentral is "partial 23S ribosomal RNA". It matches the Rfam family "Bacterial large subunit ribosomal RNA", at positions 2759 to 2925 of the family's 2925-position model. The record is from RNAcentral. Lineage: Bacteria; Pseudomonadati; Pseudomonadota; Gammaproteobacteria; Enterobacterales; Enterobacteriaceae. RNAcentral also lists the same sequence under 1 other name.
AAGAGAUAAGUGCUGAAAGCAUCUAAGCACGAAACUUGCCCCGAGAUGAGUUCUCCCUGAGACUUUAAGUCUCCUGAAGGAACGUUAAAGACGAUGACGUUGAUAGGCCGGGUGUGUAAGCGCAGCGAUGCGUUGAGCUAACCGGUACUAAUGAACCGUGAGGCUUAACCUUACAACGCCGAAG